UGAAUACGAGAUGCUACGGCGUCGAAGCAGUGUAUGUCAGACUUCCAAGAAAAGCUCGCAAUGUCAUAAAUAAAGAAUGCCUGUACCAUAACCGACACAGGUGGGUAGGUAGAGUAUACUAAGGGGCGCGAGAUAACUCUCUCUAAGGAACUCGGCAAAAUAACUCCGUAACUUCGGGAGAAGGAGUGCCUUCUUUAAGAAGGUUGCAAUAACAAGAUCCAAGCAACUGUUUAUCAAAAACACAGGUCUCCGCUAAGUCGUAAGACGAUGUAUGGGGGCUGACGCCUGCCCAGUGCCAGAAGGUUAAAGAAGUUGGUUAGCUUUUGCGAAGCUGAUGACUGAAGCCCUGGUGAACGGCGGCCGUAACAAUAACGGUCCUAAGGUAGCGAAAUUCCUUGUCGGGUAAGUUCCGACCCGCACGAAAGGCGUAAUGAUUUGGAUACUGUCUCGGAGAGGGACUCGGUGAAAUAGACUUGUCUGUGAAGAUGCGGACUACCUGCACCAGGACAGAAAGACCCUAUGAAGCUUUACUGUAACUUGAAAUUGAAAUUGGACUUUAUUUGCGCAGUAUAGGUGGAAGGCGUUGAAAGUAAUCUUGCGGGAUUAGUGGAGCCAUCAGUGAGAUACCACUCCUAUAAUGUUAGAUUUCUAACUUUGGAUCAUGAUCUGGUCAAAGAACAGUUUCAGGCGGGCAGUUUGACUGGGGCGGUCGCCUCCCAAAUGGUAACGGAGGCGUACAAAGGUUUCCUCUGAACGGGUAGAAAUCGUAUCUAGAGUGUAAAGGCAUAAGGAAGCUUGACUGUGAGACCUACAAGUCGAGCAGGGACGAAAGUCGGUCUUAGUGAUCUGACGGUGCUGAGUGGAAAGGCCGUCACUCAACGGAUAAAAGUUACUCUAAGGAUAACAGGCUGAUCUCCCCCAAGAGUUCACAUCGACGGGGAGGUUUGGCACCUCAAUGUCGGCUCAUCGCAUCCUGGGGCGGUAGUACGUCCCAAGGGUUGGGCUGUUCGCCCAUGAAAGCGGUACGCGAGCUGGGUUCAGAACGUCGUGAGACAGUUCGGUCCAUAUCCGGUGUAGGCGUUAGAAUAUUGAGAGGAGCCUUCUUUAGUACGAGAGGACCGAGAAGGACAUACCUCUGGUGUACCAGUUAUCGUGCCAACGGUAAACGCUGGGUAGCUAUGUAUGGAGAGGAUAACCGCUGAAAGCAUCUAAGUGGGAAGCCCACCUCAAGAUGAG
Molecule: ribosomal RNA, 1236 nt
Filed under: metagenome
Description: bacterial LSU rRNA
Rfam family: Bacterial large subunit ribosomal RNA
Source: RNAcentral